CCCGUGUCCUCGGGGCUGCUGGCCGGCCGGCUGAGGAGCGCAGGGGCCCGGCCGGUGGGGCGCACCGCUAGGGGGUUGCAGCGUCCCGGAGCGAGUCCCGCUGAGGGCAACAAAGGUGAAGGGAGCCGAGCAAGUCUUAACAAGGACAGGCUGGGGGAGCUGGGCCUGGAGAAGGGAUCUCGUCAGUGUCUGUAAGUGUGUUAAGGGAGAGUGCCGAGAGGGUGUUCCAGGCUCUCCUUGUGGCGCCCAGCAGUAGGACAAGAGGCUGAAACUGAUUCACAGGAAGAGCCCACUGAACACCAGGAGGAACUUCUUUACUGUGCGAGUAACCACGCACUGGAACAGGUUGCCCAGAGAGAGUGUGGAGUCUCCCUCACUGGAGAUUCCCUCACUGGAAUCACCUGUACGCAUUCCUGUGCCAUGGGCUCUGGGACCACCCUGCUUGAGCAGGGAGGUUGGACCAGAUGACCCACUGCGGUCCUUUCUGACCUGAACCACUCUGUGAUUCUGUGGCUUGGUGCUUGAGUCAAAGAAAUGCUGUUUAGGAAACAUUAAGAGAGGUUUUAAAUAAGUUAUUAAAAAUGUACAGCGAAAUCGUGUGAGAGAUCAGGAGACAAAACCCAUUAGGGACGAAGGCUGAGGAGGCAAUGACAGUGGUUAGUUGUCUGGCUGCAAGAAUUAUUACUGCAGCAGGGAGGCUGGUGUGGUGUGGAAAUUGCCCCCAUUUCAGCAGAGGGCAGGAGGGGAGGCUUGCACAAGGCAGCCGCAGCCUUGUCAGCAGGAAGUGAAACACACGCUGUCCUACCUCCGCUGCCUCCUGGCCUACAGAGAAAAGUGACCCAGCCUGGAGCUUGCAUAACUAUCUCCAGAAUUUAGCAAAUUUUAACUGCAAUGUAAAGAUUCAAGAAGGAUUUCAUUAGUAAAUUUUUAUGGAAGUGCAGGUAAGAAGAAAAGCACCUUUGAGAGUGGUAAGUGGCAUAAGGGGGGGAGAGAGAAAGAAAACUAAAAGCUAAACUCAUUAAACAGACAGCUGUCUUCUGUGAAGAAAUCCUGUUCUCUAAUUAUGAAUACUUUCCAAAAGCCAUUUGCACAAAAAAAAAAACACACCCAAAAAAGGCCUAAAACUGAAAUAGUUUUUCUUGCUCCAUUCCCUAGCAUCCAUGAGAAUGAGGCAGCACUGAAGAUCUGCCUCUCAGGCAGUUCAGCGUGGUUCCAGGCUGCUGUGAUCUCCUUCUCCUCUCUUUUCUCUCAGAUAGAGCCCAGCUCUCUGGUAGCAUUAGCUCUGCAGCAGGGCAGGCAGCUGCCUGAAGGUGCUGCCCUGGCUGAAAGCUGGCACACUAUUCUGAUUGUUUUGUGCAGGUUUGCAGCUGAACCUGUCACCUGACUUGCUAGGCUCACUGCAUAUCUGCACAAACACCAGCAGCAGCUCCAGAAGGGGCAGAGGAACUGCAGAAAAAGAACUAUUAAAAGGGACUGAGUAAAUGCUAUUGUCCUCUACAGUUUUCUACUGCAAUAUAAUGGAUUAUUGUCAAUUCUUUGUCGUUUAUUUUAGCCUUCAGUGGAUUCCUGAAAGUUCUAAAUCUGAUUACCCGAGAAUCCCUGUUGUCUGCUUUUAAGACUCCAGCCUGUAUAAAGAGAAGCUUGAUGACACCAACUCAAAGGCUCAAAAAGACAAAACAAAAGCAGUUGACAAAAAGAAUACCAAGUUUGUUAAUUUCUGGGGUUAUGUUUCUUAAACUUUGCUGCUCUGCUGGCAGGACUAGCAUCACUCACUUUCCACAGAGCAGUGCAAAAAGAAGAGACUUGGUGGAAAUCCUGUCUCUGCUUACCAACUUGAAUUAAAAAUGUAUCAGCCAGGAAAUUCACUGCAGACAGCAGAGCAGGCAGACAUUCUGUAGCUGCUGAUCCUAUUAGCUACCCAGGUUUCUGCAAAUAGGGCUUUAUCCCUGAAAUUUUCUUUGUGUAGAUUUAAGUACCUGAAUACCACUGAAGACAAUGUGACAUCUCACCUUGUAACAUUAAGAAUACAUAUAAAUAUUGCAGUGUCAGGGCCUGGUAGUGCAGAAACAGUUAAUUUCAGUUACCUGGUAAGAGCUAACUCAAAGUUGUUUACUGACAAAAGAAUGAAGAAGUUUAGAGUGGCAUUCUUCACUCUUUGUACUGCUAUGAAUGCUUAGGCCUCUGUAUUUGCACAAGACUUCAGAGCAGUUUCUUUGCAUACAGAGGAAAGUAUGUGAACAGCUAUCUAGGAAGAAGGAAAGAAAUUGACAUACCUGGGGGCAAAAUCCCAGUUAGAAAGGAAAAGGAACAGACCAGAAAUUCUUCUUUCAUCUGCUGUGCUAAUACAUAAACAUCAACCUAACAAUGAACCAGUGUUGCAACACAGCAAGGGUGCUGCAGAAAUACUGAAAUACACAAUGAGAAGUUGAGCAUGAUGGCUGUUAGUUAUAUGGAGUAAAUCCCAGUACACCUGAAAGUCUUGCUGCAAUUUCCAAACCACUGUGGAUGGUUUUCAGUAGGCACAGUGUCAUGAAUAAGUGAUGGAUACACGGGUCCUCCAGGAUUCUUCUUUUCCUCUUGCCAGGUGUCAAGUGUCGCAUCAUUUUUUGUUCUUCUGACUCAGAGUCUUGCUUCAUGUGGCCACCAUCAGCUGUGCAGUAAUUGGAACAAAAAAAUUUUCAGCAUCCAGAGCUGUUUUUACAUUUGAUCGUGGGAAAUUCCUUAUCCUGUGAGGUCUGGAGAGUUUCUUUCUAUCUGUCUGUAAGCUACAUUAUGUUGAAGUAAUUACUUUUAUACUUCAUGGAAACUUCAUAAGGCUCUUCCGUGGAGCUGUGCAGUUUUUCAAAAAGCACAGAUAUGCCACUCACUGGGUAGUUUAUUUUUCUUUCCUGUUCUCUUGCUUGCUGUUCUAUACUUCAGUCUUCUAAUGUUACUCCCAUUGCCAUUACUUCUAAAUGCUCCUUAUUCUUUUUGCUGCUUGUUUCUGAUGCUUCCUACUUCUUUCUGUUCUACGUCUACUCUCCUUAGCAUUUUUAAAGGCAAGCUCUCGAUAAGAGCUACCUUCUGAUUUGUUCUGAUCAGUUACCCUGCUUUAUAACAAAGAAAACCAGUCCCUGAUGACCUUGUUUUGCAGACUUAGGUUUAGGCUUCCCAAAGCAGUUAGGGAGAUAAUGAAUGACAUUUCCUAAUCUAGAUGGUACUGUUCAAUGCUACCUUAAAAGAACAUCAGCUUUGUCUGAGCACUUUAUGUGAAAUCUUUGUCUUGUUGGGGACGUCCUUACGUGCUGUACUCAGUGUUUGCACUGAAAAGGGCCCUGUUUUGUGCUGUGGCUUAGGAGUUAGUGUUGAUAAUAUAGAGGUGUUUUGGUUAUUGCUGAGCAGGGCUCACACAGCAUCAAGGUCUUUUCUGCCUCUCACCCCCCCCCCACCACCACCACUGAGAGGGCUGGAGGUGCACAGGGUGUUGGGAGGGGACACAGGCAGGACAGCCAAGCCCAAGUGACCACAGGGAUAUCCCACACCACACAGCACCGUGCUUACAUGUGGAGCUGCGGGAAGAAGGAGGAAGAGGGGAUGUUUGGGGUGACAGUGUGUGUCUUCCCUAGUCACUGUUCCACAUGAUGAAGCCGAGCUUUCCUGGGGAUGGUUGAACACCUGCCUGCCUGUGGGAGCAGUGAAUGAAUGCCUUGUUCACUUUGCUUGUGGCGUGCCUUAUGCUUUCGCUAUUUAAUUGUCUUUAUCUCAGCCUGCAAGUUUUCUCACUUUUACCCUUCCAGUUCUCUCCUGAAAGAGAGAGCAAGUGGCUCAUGGAGGUUGGUUGCCAGCUGGGUCUAAACCACAGCACUAACCUAGAGCAAUGCCUGAAGCUGGAAACUGCUGUGGAUCCUGGGCUGGGAGAAGUGCAAGCUGGUACAAGAUGUGUAAAGACCACCUUUUUACAAUGGCAAAAACCUGCAGAUGUCUCAUGCGGAGCUGAAGUGAAAAAAUGAAUCAUCUGGAAGUCUUACUGCUUCAUCGUGUUUUAUUUUUAUUGUAAGACAAUAGGCAACAUUUCUUUUUCUCUUUCAGUAGUUAUUUCACCUAAUUCAGUAGUAUUAUGUAAGAAAAUAUGUUGUCAUCUGUUCCUUCUUGAUUGUUACAAGGUAGCUGAUAAAUUUCUGGUUUGCUGUAUUUUUCCUGGUUCUUUGUAAUGGGAAAUUUCAAAGAAAAACAAAUUCUUCUUUCCCAUGUAGCUGCAUUUCCCAUUUCAGCAUCACACUUAAAAAAUAACAAACUUCAUACACAGCAGAGAAAUUUAAAAAAAUUGUUUCAUUUAAAGCAUCAAGGCUCAACCUACAUUUUCUUUCUUCCUAGUCCUCUCAGAGGUAAAGAACUUUGUGAAGGACUAAAAUAUGUGGUAUACUUUAUUCAGGUGAUUUUUCUAUCACCCUGCCUUGCUUGAAUUUAUUGAUAUAUUCUGAUGAUACAUUUAUAUAUUCUGUCCAUGCAUAUAUAUAUUUGUUUUUAUAGCCACAUUCAUAAAUAGGUUUAGGCCAGUAUUAAACUUCUUCUAGGCAUGCAUUUUAUUUCCAUUACAUUUGUCUGUAAAACAUUUUAAGAUAUCUGAAGUAGAAGAAAGAAGUGUACAUAUUAAUUUACUUAGAAGAAAAGUAACAAUCUGGGUUUUUUUAAUAAUAGAUACCGCAUUGCCCUAGAUGUUUUAUAUUCACAAGUUGCUGAAGGAGAUAGGGUAGAGAAAAAUGAGUAUCAGUGUACGCAUGAAGGCCCAGGUAAGCCAUUACAGUAUUGAAUAAAUGGUUCGAUUAGAGAUUCACAUUAGAUCAUAAAAACCGGUUGCACAUGUGGAUCACAAGACAAGAAGGAGAUCUCCAUACUGCACAGUUUCGGAUCUGUAAUAUUGCCAUCUGAAUCUGUGCAGUAAUCCAGAUUUUCCUUGCCUUUUUCAGUCAGAGCCAGAGUAAAAUGAACAGAAAGUAUACAAAUAUGAUAGUGAAUGUGCUAAGAAAUAUGCAUCAGAUAGACAUGGAAUGACAACUGUCUUGAAGAGUUUUCUGGCAUUUUUUCAUGUACUGAUAUGACAUUUAAAGAUAUGAUAGAUGUUACAGUGGGGAAGAAAAUCUUUCGGUUCACCCUUACUGAAGUGAACACCGUAGUGAAAAAAUUGCUAGUAAUAAAUACUGAUAUUAUCAGACAGUUAUUGCCUUAGCAGCUGAAAUAAAGUAAUAUUAGGAAAUGCCAUAUGUGUUCUCAUCCAAAAUAGGAUAGAAGGUUUGUCCCACACAAGAGAGAAAAUAGUUUUUUCUGUAUAUUAUUUGUCUUAACUUUUACCUUCUCAAUGUUCUAACGUGUGCUUGAGCCUCAGAGUCUGCUCUCUGAAGCAGGUGUUGGAGCUUUCUCAUGAGCUAGCAGUAAUUUGUCUUUGAAGCCUUCAAUAAAACUACUCGGAGGGA
Agelaius phoeniceus (red-winged blackbird) is the source of this 5450-nucleotide long non-coding RNA. RefSeq lists it as uncharacterized. NCBI's taxonomy places the organism in Eukaryota, Metazoa, Chordata, Aves, Passeriformes, Icteridae. The record is from RefSeq and is a predicted model, not a curated record.